CGGCGAGGCGCCAUUUCGCCCUCCCCGGCCCGCGCCGCGGCUGAGCCCGCGGUGAGCGGCGCGCCGAGGCCACCGCCGCCUGCAGCAGAAGCCAGCGCUCCGAAACGCCUGUUAAGUAGGCUGUCCGCAAGGAAACGUGAUCUGAAGAGGAAGGGGAAAGUUCAGAGUGGUUCCCCCAGAGCCUCGCAGCCCUGGCAGCGGCCAGACAUCCGUCCCAGCUCGUUGCUUCCCUUGGGGGUGAAAAGCCCAGGAGAGGCAGCUGGCGGGGGCGAGCSGAGGCACCAGGAGCAUUGGGAGACUCAUGAAGCAGCAGGGCAGUACCUAUUGCUCCCCUACUUCCAUACAGAUAAGCCACAGGCAGAAAGUACUUUGCAGUCUGUUGCACCUGGACCUGCAGACAUUACUCCUUAGAUGAGUUCCAUCACAACUGUAAACAUCACUAAAAUCUCUUGUAUUAAUGACUUCAGUCAUCAACAG
This 477-nucleotide long non-coding RNA is filed under the name Apteryx rowi (Okarito brown kiwi). RNAcentral describes it as "lncRNA (ENSARWG00000001242.1)". Lineage: Eukaryota; Metazoa; Chordata; Aves; Apterygiformes; Apterygidae. The record is from RNAcentral.